This 523-nucleotide long non-coding RNA is filed under the name Monodelphis domestica (gray short-tailed opossum). RNAcentral's name for it is "lncRNA (ENSMODG00000046752.1)". Lineage: Eukaryota; Metazoa; Chordata; Mammalia; Didelphimorphia; Didelphidae. The record is from RNAcentral.
AGGCAAUGGAAGGCAAUCAGGACCAUGAUGAAAACACUCAGAGAAUAUGCCAAGCAGGGCUGCCUUUCCCCCAGGAGGCAUAGAGAACACUAAAUCAAUAAAAAUCAAUGUUAUUUCCUCCUUUAUUAGUUGUUCCAAGUGAGUAGGUAUGGAAACACAUUAAACAACAGAUUCCUCCAUUCUGGUUUCUAUAUCAGGAAUUGGCCAUGUUUCCUGGCAGCAAACCAGAGGUUCAGCAUUCAACUUAUUAAGAGUUUAAUGUGCCAGCUUGGCAUUCAUGGAGUAUACUGCCCGGGAGCUGAUUACAACAACAUACCAAGAAGAAAGAUGGAACAUGAUAUUGUCUAAAGUACAAGCUGGAGUAGUCUCUCGGAAGCCGAGAAUGACGAUUGUCUUUGUGCAUGUGUGCACAAAGAUACUUGUGCGUGAAGAUUUAAGUGGAAAAGUCGAUGCACAGAGACAGUCCCACUCUCUCGGCAUUGGAAGCCUAGGUCCAGUGGUAUGAAAAGUCAUUACACCUGGA